UUCUCUUUCAUUCUGACCUUAUUUUUUUCGAUCCUUGAAGCAGCAAUUAUCAAAACAUAAUUCUCUUUUCUCUGUUUGCCGCAUCCUUUUCUUUGAUUUUCAUUCUCCGUUCUGAUUCAUAUUAAUUGCUUUUUCUUCUUUUGUUGACAUUGCAGAUGAUAAUAUAUGGAUGCAUGAAGAUAGAAUCAAAGAUGCAAUAUAAAGGUUCCUGUAUAGAUAUUUAUCGCGGUUCUUUCUUUGUUUUCAUGUUCUAUCUUGGAAUUAUUGAUUUUGUUGAUCUUUGGUUUUUGCAGGUUAGGGGUUAUCUCUCAUGUUCUGUAUUGAUUUUGUUAGUAUUUGAUUUUUUUCGGUUGAGGAUUUAUCUUUGUUGGGUUCUGGUGAAGAAAAACAUCAAAAUUUAGGCUCAGAUAAAACCCAUAAAAAGGCGAGUGUUUAUCUAUGUUGUGUUCGGUGUUUAGCUAUUUGUCAUUCAGCAGCCUAUGAUAAUCUCGAACCAAUAGAUCAAUAAAGACAAUCUGAACUCUAGAUUAGAGUUCAAUGGUUGAUUCAUCAUCGUACAUAAUAGACAUAUAAAACAAAUUGUAAUUAUCAGUUUUUUAAGAAAAAAAAAUUCAGAAUACAAAAAACCAAAAAAAAGUCUAAAUUAUCUUUACUUUUGUGACUACUAUUUAUGUUAUGUAUCAAAUUUGCUAAGUUGAUCAGAAUACAAAAAACGAAAAAAAAAGUCUAAAUUAUCUUUACUUUUGUGACUACUAUUUAUGUUAUGUGUCAAAUUUUCUAAGUUGGUUUGAUGUCUUGGCAAGAAUAGAUGAUUCUGUAGUAUGAAGAAGAAUCCAACUUAAAUGUGUGCUACUUAAACUAGCGGCCGAGUUAUUGUUUCUUAAUAGAUUAAAUGUGUCACACCAGUUAAGACCAGUUUCUUCGAAAUUUUGACAGGCAAGUUGGUCUUUCUACACGUCAUUUGAAAUCAAACUAGACGGUACGUGGUAAAACAGAACUACUGACAUAAUCAGAACAGUGCAUUUCAUGUUUUUAAUUUUGAAUUUCGGGCAGAAGUUUUGGGGGAAGAUGACAACAUGAAUUCCGUACUUAACAAAAUUCAUGUAAAUAUGCACAUAUGUUUUGGUGGAUUUAAUGAAAUACAUAUCUAACAACUCAUUGUCUGUUCUUUUGUAGUUUUAAUGCACCAUUGCAACAAGCUUCAAUCCAAAGACAGAGUAUGAAACUUCCAGGUUUGCAAAUGUUGGCUUUAAUUUGUUUCAUACUUCUUCAUUUGUUCUAGAUCCUUUAGUAAUCAAAUAUAUACAAAACAAAAGUAGAAUUGCUAAAGAGAAAGGCAUCAACUGAUAGAGAUGAUAAAGAAGGUAAUCAUCUGUGGAAAUGGAGUUUUCUUUUGGUUUAUCAAAUUUUGUUGUACACAUUCGCGGAAGCGUACAGUACGGUGAAGUAAACUUAUAUGUCAAAUACCGAGUUUUAUUUUAUUUAUUUACUGUACAAUCUUGGUCAAUGAGAUUCCCAUGGUGUACUGGACUAAUAUAAUGCUUUUGUUACAUGCCACUUUUACACAAAUGUAUGCUUUUGUUGCUUUCAUGCUUUUUCAGAAGGUUAUUUAUUGUAACAAAUCUUGGGCUUCUUGGAACCUUAGUAGUUAAAUUUUUUCUGCUUAAUUUGAAUGAGUAUUCAACAUUCAUUUCCACCGUCAUGCACUAAAGAGGUUGGGUCUAUGGAAGCACCCAGUAAAAAGAAAAUCUGUUAUGUGAUGCUUGCAUGAAAAUUGGUUGUAUGGCUCUUCAAGAUGCUGGCGUUCCUGUUAGGGGAUUAAUCGCUGGGAUAAAAAUGGAUUACGGGUAAGAUAGUGGGAACCCAAGAAUCGGUGGAGACAGACAACCACUUAAUCUCUUCGACAUUAUUGGGUUGGAAGACGCGUCUGGAGAUAUGGAAAGGUCUGUUCUACUAAGGUUGCUGGAAAUGAGACGGAUAUUACAGCAUCUUGGUAGUGUUGUUGUUGUUGCAUCGUAUAUUUUGGACCUCCAGUAUAAGAGGAUGACAAUACAAUUCUCUUUCCUUUUCUUAUGGAUGAAUCCCCCUUCAACAACGAAUCUUUCAAGCCACUGUAUAAGUCAUCCAUUAUGUAAAUCUGACCCUCAUUUUUUAAAAUUAUAUCUUGGAUAUUAGAUUUGGUUAUUUUAAAAUU
This is a long non-coding RNA of Papaver somniferum (opium poppy), 2194 nucleotides long. RefSeq lists it as uncharacterized. The record is from RefSeq and is a predicted model, not a curated record. Lineage: Eukaryota; Viridiplantae; Streptophyta; Magnoliopsida; Ranunculales; Papaveraceae. The transcript is spliced from 2 exons.